RNAcentral lists this small nuclear RNA (21 nucleotides) under Arabidopsis thaliana (thale cress). RNAcentral's name for it is "snRNA_02491". Lineage: Eukaryota; Viridiplantae; Streptophyta; Magnoliopsida; Brassicales; Brassicaceae. The record is from RNAcentral.
CGAGAGUAGUACUAGGAUGGG